This is a long non-coding RNA of Anopheles coustani, 571 nucleotides long. RefSeq lists it as uncharacterized. The record is from RefSeq and is a predicted model, not a curated record. Lineage: Eukaryota; Metazoa; Arthropoda; Insecta; Diptera; Culicidae. The transcript is spliced from 4 exons.
GAAAAAACGGCCGAAAUAAAUUGGGAAUCGCCGGAAUUCCUUGAGAAAGCGUAAUCUCAACCACCACAAAAUGAUUGCUACGAUACUAACCAGCUAAGGGCUGCUGUUGCGGUUUACUUAAACACGGUUAAACGCAUUCAAUCGCCGGUUUUUUGAACAACAUACAGAAUGUACAGCCUUGAUAAUGAUACACCGAUAGAGCUCAAAGAAAAUCCGUUCGCAAAGGAGAAAAUGCAGUCUAUAUUGUAGCCUGUACAUUGGUCGUCUGUAUGGAAAGCAUAUUACGGGAUUAUGCAGAUCAUCAAGGCACAAAACGUUGGUUUUAUGCCAACCUACCACACAGCCGUAGAUUUUCUGAACGACUCAAAAUUAUUCGAUCCGGAAAAGGUUGUCCGACCUCAUAAGUUCUAAGCACGUAUCGCCAAAUUCAUGCAGUUCAGUUUGAUUGCCAAUAUCUUGAUGAAGUACUAUUGUCGGAAUUUAUAUUUCUACCACUGUAUCGAUUGGUUGUAAUUAUUGCCGUAAACCCACUGCUCAAUGAAAUUUUCGUUCGCAUUUUAUUGAAAGGGUA